UGUAAGAUGGCUGAGGUUUAAAGCGGAAGACUGUAGAUCUUUUUACGGAGGUGGUUCCUUCUCUUAUAA
RNAcentral lists this transfer RNA (69 nucleotides) under Trochus rota. RNAcentral describes it as "tRNA-Tyr". It matches the Rfam family "tRNA". Rfam says of the family: Transfer RNA (tRNA) molecules are approximately 80 nucleotides in length. Their secondary structure includes four short double-helical elements and three loops (D, anti-codon, and T loops). Further hydrogen bonds mediate the characteristic L-shaped molecular structure. tRNAs have two regions of fundamental functional importance: the anti-codon, which is responsible for specific mRNA codon recognition, and the 3' end, to which the tRNAs corresponding amino acid is attached (by aminoacyl-tRNA synthetases). tRNAs cope with the degeneracy of the genetic code in two manners: having more than one tRNA (with a specific anti-codon) for a particular amino acid; and 'wobble' base-pairing, i.e. permitting non-standard base-pairing at the 3rd anti-codon position. Lineage: Eukaryota; Metazoa; Mollusca; Gastropoda; Trochida; Trochidae. The record is from RNAcentral. RNAcentral also lists the same sequence under 1 other name.